Molecule: transfer RNA, 75 nt
Filed under: Cophosaurus texanus
Lineage: Eukaryota; Metazoa; Chordata; Lepidosauria; Squamata; Phrynosomatidae
Description: tRNA-Leu
Rfam family: tRNA
About the family: Transfer RNA (tRNA) molecules are approximately 80 nucleotides in length. Their secondary structure includes four short double-helical elements and three loops (D, anti-codon, and T loops). Further hydrogen bonds mediate the characteristic L-shaped molecular structure. tRNAs have two regions of fundamental functional importance: the anti-codon, which is responsible for specific mRNA codon recognition, and the 3' end, to which the tRNAs corresponding amino acid is attached (by aminoacyl-tRNA synthetases). tRNAs cope with the degeneracy of the genetic code in two manners: having more than one tRNA (with a specific anti-codon) for a particular amino acid; and 'wobble' base-pairing, i.e. permitting non-standard base-pairing at the 3rd anti-codon position.
Source: RNAcentral
GUUAGGGUGGCAGAGCCAGGUGUAUGCAUAAGACCUAAAAUCUUAACAACAGAAGUUCAAAUCUUCUCCCUAAUC